UGUAAACAUCCUACACUCAGCUGUCAUACAUGCGUUGGCUGGGAUGUGGAUGUUUACGUC
This 60-nucleotide microRNA precursor is filed under the name Mus musculus (house mouse). Its description in RNAcentral is "Mmu-Mir-30-P2a_pre stem-loop". It matches the Rfam family "mir-30 microRNA precursor family", at positions 1 to 60 of the family's 77-position model. Rfam says of the family: This family consists of the mammalian microRNA (miRNA) precursor mir-30a. The record is from RNAcentral. Lineage: Eukaryota; Metazoa; Chordata; Mammalia; Rodentia; Muridae.